Molecule: ribosomal RNA, 497 nt
Filed under: uncultured bacterium
Lineage: Bacteria
Description: partial 16S ribosomal RNA
Rfam family: Bacterial small subunit ribosomal RNA
Source: RNAcentral
GAUGAACGCUGGCGGCGUGCCUAAUACAUGCAAGUCGAGCGAACAGACGAGGAGCUUGCUCCUCUGACGUUAGCGGCGGACGGGUGAGUAACACGUGGAUAACCUACCUAUAAGACUGGGAUAACUUCGGGAAACCGGCGCUAAUACCGGAUAAUAUAUUGAACCGCAUGGUUCAAUAGUGAAAGACGGCUUUGCUGUCACUUAUAGAUGGAUCCGCGCCGCAUUAGCUAGUUGGUAAGGUAACGGCUUACCAAGGCAACGAUGCGUAGCCGACCGGAGAGGGUGAUCGGCCACACUGGAACUGAGACACGGUCCAGACUCCUACGGGAGGCAGCAGUAGGGAAUCUUCCGCAAUGGGCGAAAGCCUGGCGGAGCAACGCCGCGUGAGUGAUGAAGGUCUUCGGAUCGUAAAACUCUGUUAUUAGGGGAGAACAAAUGUGUAAGGAGCUAUGCACGUCUUGACGGUACCUAAACAGAAAGCCACGGCUAACUACGUG